GACGAACGCUGGCGGCGUGCUUAACACAUGCAAGUCGAACGGUAAGGCUCCAGCUUGCUGGGGUACACGAGUGGCGAACGGGUGAGUAACACGUGGGUGACCUGCCCUGCACUUCGGGAUAAGCCUGGGAAACUGGGUCUAAUACCGGAUAGGACCGCACCGUGAGGGUGUGGUGGAAAGUUUUUUCGGUGUGGGAUGGGCCCGCGGCCUAUCAGCUUGUUGGUGGGGUAAUGGCCUACCAAGGCGGCGACGGGUAGCCGGCCUGAGAGGGUGGACGGCCACAUUGGGACUGAGACACGGCCCAGACUCCUACGGGAGGCAGCAGUGGGGAAUAUUGCACAAUGGGCGGAAGCCUGAUGCAGCGACGCCGCGUGGGGGAUGACGGCCUUCGGGUUGUAAACUCCUUUCACCAUCGACGAAGGGUUUCUGACGGUAGAUGGAGAAGAAGCACCGGCUAACUACGUGCCAGCAGCCGCGGUAAUACGUAGGGUGCGAGCGUUGUCCGGAAUUACUGGGCGUAAAGAGCUCGUAGGUGGUUUGUCGCGUCGUCUGUGAAAUUCCGGGGCUUAACUCCGGGCGUGCAGGCGAUACGGGCAUAACUUGAGUACUGUAGGGGAGACUGGAAUUCCUGGUGUAGCGGAGAUGUGCACAGAUAUCAAGAAGAACCCCGGUGGCGAAAGGCGGGUCUCUGGGCAGUAACUGACUCUGAGGAGCGAAAGCAUGGGGAGCGAACAGGAUUAGAUACCCUGGUAGUCCAUGCCGUAAACGGUGGGCGCUAGGUGUGGGUUUCCUUCCACGGGAUCCGUGCCGUAGCUAACGCAUUAAGCGCCCCGCCUGGGGAGUACGGCCGCAAGGCUAAAACUCAAAGGAAUUGACGGGGGCCCGCACAAGCGGCGGAGCAUGUGGAUUAAUUCGAUGCAACGCGAAGAACCUUACCUGGGCUUGACAUAUACAGGAUCGCGCCAGAGAUGGUGUUUCCCUUGUGGCUUGUAUACAGGUGGUGCAUGGUUGUCGUCAGCUCGUGUCGUGAGAUGUUGGGUUAAGUCCCGCAACGAGCGCAACCCUUGUCUUAUGUUGCCAGCACGUUGUGGUGGGGACUCGUAAGAAACUGCCGGGGUUAACUCGGAGGAAGGUGGGGAUGACGUCAAAUCAUCAUGCCCCUUAUGUCCAGGGCUUCACACAUGCUACAAUGGUCGGUACAGUGGGUUGCCAGUCCGUGAGGGCGAGCUAAUCCCGCAAAGCCGGUCUCAGUUCGGAUCGGGGUCUGCAACUCGACCCCGUGAAGUCGGAGUCGCUAGUAAUCGCAGAUCAGCAACGCUGCGGUGAAUACGUUCCCGGGCCU
Molecule: ribosomal RNA, 1342 nt
Filed under: uncultured bacterium
Lineage: Bacteria
Description: 16S ribosomal RNA
Rfam family: Bacterial small subunit ribosomal RNA
Source: RNAcentral